CCUACGGGAGGCAGCAGUGGGGAAUAUUGCACAAUGGGCGAAAGCCUGAUGCAGCAACGCCGCGUGAAGGAAGACGGUUUUCGGAUUGUAAACUUCUGUUCUUAGUGAAGAAUAAUGACGGUAACUAAGGAGCAAGCCACGGCUAACUACGUGCCAGCAGCCGCGGUAAUACGUAGGUGGCAAGCGUUGUCCGGAAUUACUGGGUGUAAAGGGAGCGUAGACGGUAAUGCAAGUCUGGAGUGAAAGGCGGGGGUCCAACCCCCGGACUGCUCUGGAAACUGUGUAACUGGAGUGCAGGAGAGGCAGGCGGAAUUCCUAGUGUAGCGGUGAAAUGCGUAGAUAUUAGGAGGAACACCAGUGGCGAAGGCGGCCUCCUGGACUGUAACUGACGUUGAGGCUCGAAAGCGUGGGGAGCAAACAGGAUUAGAUACCCCAGUAGUC
Molecule: ribosomal RNA, 441 nt
Filed under: uncultured bacterium
Lineage: Bacteria
Description: partial 16S ribosomal RNA
Rfam family: Bacterial small subunit ribosomal RNA
Source: RNAcentral